ACUCCUACGGGAGGCAGCAGUGGGGAAUAUUGCACAAUGGGGAAACCCUGAUGCAGCCAUGCCGCGUGUGUGAAGAAGGCCUCGGUUGUAAAGCACUUCAGUAGGGAGGAAGGUAGUGUAGUUAACACCUGCAUUAUUUGACGUUACCUACAGAAGAAGCACCGGCUAACUCCGUGCCAGCAGCCGCGGUAAUACGGAGGGGUGCGAGCGUUAAUCGGAAUUACUGGGCGUAAAGCGCAUGCAGGCGGCCUGUUAAGUCAGAUGUGAAAGCCCGGGGGCUUAACCUCGGAAUUGCAUUUGAAACUGGCAGGCUAGAGUCUUGUAGAGGGGGUAGAAUUUCAGGUGUAGCGGUGAAAUGCGUAGAGAUCUGAAGGAAUACCAGUGGCGAAGGCGGCCCCCUGGACAAAGACUGACGCUCAGAUGCGAAAGCGUGGGGAGCGAAACAGGAUUAGAUACCCUGGUAGCACAGAG
RNAcentral lists this ribosomal RNA (471 nucleotides) under uncultured bacterium. Its description in RNAcentral is "bacterial SSU rRNA". It matches the Rfam family "Bacterial small subunit ribosomal RNA", at positions 335 to 799 of the family's 1533-position model. The record is from RNAcentral.